CACGUCUCCUGAAGGAAAAGGUCAGGAAGAAAGAAUGUGUUCCCAGAACUCAAGCGAGCCCCAGGGAGGGCAGGGUCACCAAACUAGAAAAACAAAUCAGCCUGAAAUGCCAGGGACACCUGUGAGGGUCAGCGGGACCGUCAGAACUCGAACAAGUGGCUCCAGGCACACCUGCUCCCGGGCAUGACUACAAGUGUCCUGUGUGGGGGGCAGGCCGUCCCCCAUGGUCAGCAGGCAGAAGGCAGCUCGUGUAGCCCUCUGAUGGAACUUGGCUUCUCCUGCAGAAAAGAAGAUUCUCGAUAUACUCAUGGCAAAUUAGCACGAGAGUGACUGGUCAGUAAUACCAACAUAGCAUACAUUUUUUUAGGAAAGACUCAACUGUGUAUGAGAUUAUGUAUGUUCAUAAAAUGAUGCGUGCGUGUGUGUAGAGACCAGACAGAAAGUCGUAGCUAAAAUAAAGAUGUGAGCAAACAGGAGCAGGGUCGCUCUUCCCGCAACCACCUCGCCCGAUCCCCUCCUCCCUGCCUCCCUGAAGCCCCGCGUCAUUGGCUUCCUAUCACUGACUUUCCAGCUCGUCAGCGUCCUGGUAAACGUACAAGAACUGAUCCUCUAAGCCCAGGUCUGGCGAGACUUUUGGUUGAUAUUUUCAUGUUAUAACAGCGGGUGGCAAGCUUCUUCUGUAAAGGGCCAGACCGUAAAUAUUCUAGGUUUUGCAGGGCACACGGUCCCAGUCACCCGCCAACAGCCACAGACACCAUGCAGGUGUUCCAGUAAAACCUCAGAAGCAAUUCCGGGAAGACAGUGGAGAAACAAUGAAGACGUGGGCAGGACCUUCACGCCUUUGUGCUGAGUUGCACCUGACCUCUCUGCUCAGGCAGACACUUGUUUUCAAAUACAAAAUAAGUGAAUAAAUAAAACGCAUGAAUGUCCCAUA
This 934-nucleotide long non-coding RNA is filed under the name Sus scrofa (pig). RNAcentral's name for it is "lncRNA (ENSSSCG00030049225.1)". The record is from RNAcentral. Lineage: Eukaryota; Metazoa; Chordata; Mammalia; Artiodactyla; Suidae.